GACGAACGCUGGCGGCGUGCCUAAUACAUGCAAGUCGAGCGGACGAAUCGAAAGCUUGCUUUUGAUUCGUUAGCGGCGGACGGGUGAGUAACACGUGGGCAACCUGCCCUGUAGACGGGGAUAACACCGAGAAAUCGGUGCUAAUACCUGAUAACACGAAAUGUCGCAUGACGUUUCGUUGAAAGACGGCGCAAGCCUUCGCUACAGGACGGGCACGCGGCGCAUUAGCUAGUUGGUGAGGUAACGGCUCACCAAGGCGACGAUGCGUAGCCGACCUGAGAGGGUGAUCGGCCACACUGGGACUGAGACACGGCCCAGACUCCUACGGGAGGCAGCAGUAGGGAAUCUUCCGCAAUGGACGAAAGUCUGACGGAGCAACGCCGCGUGAGCGAAGAAGGCCUUCGGGUCGUAAAGCUCUGUUGUUAGGGAAGAACAAGUAACGCAGUCACUGGCGUUACCGUGACGGUACCUAACGAGAAAGCCACGGCUAACUACGUGCCAGCCGCCGCGGUAA
RNAcentral lists this ribosomal RNA (514 nucleotides) under uncultured bacterium. Its description in RNAcentral is "partial 16S ribosomal RNA". It matches the Rfam family "Bacterial small subunit ribosomal RNA", at positions 28 to 523 of the family's 1533-position model. The record is from RNAcentral.